This 505-nucleotide ribosomal RNA is filed under the name uncultured bacterium. Its description in RNAcentral is "bacterial SSU rRNA". It matches the Rfam family "Bacterial small subunit ribosomal RNA", at positions 501 to 1008 of the family's 1533-position model. The record is from RNAcentral.
CUACGUGCCAGCAGCCGCGGUAAUACGGAAGGUCCGGGCGUUAUCCGGAUUUAUUGGGUUUAAAGGGAGCGUAGGCUGGAGAUUAAGUGUGUUGUGAAAUGUAGACGCUCAACGUCUGACUUGCAGCGCAUACUGGUUUCCUUGAGUACGCACAACGUUGGCGGAAUUCGUCGUGUAGCGGUGAAAUGCUUAGAUAUGACGAAGAACUCCGAUUGCGAAGGCAGCAUACGGGAGUGUAACUGACGCUUAAGCUCGAAGGUGCGGGUAUCGAACAGGAUUAGAUACCCUGGUAGUCCGCACAGUAAACGAUGGAUGCCCGCUGUUAGCGCCUGGCGUUAGCGGCUAAGCGAAAGCAUUAAGCAUCCCACCUGGGGAGUACGCCGGCAACGGUGAAACUCAAAGGAAUUGACGGGGGCCCGCACAAGCGGAGGAACAUGUGGUUUAAUUCGAUGAUACGCGAGGAACCUUACCCGGGCUUGAAUUGCAGAGGAAUUAUUUAGAGAUA